GCGGAAGUGGCGGAACGGCAUACGCACACGGCUUAGAACCGUGUACCCGAAAGGGUGUGGGGGUUCGAAUCCCCCCUUCCGCACCA
RNAcentral lists this transfer RNA (86 nucleotides) under Acidobacteriota bacterium. RNAcentral describes it as "Acidobacteria bacterium tRNA-Leu". It matches the Rfam family "tRNA". From Rfam's summary of the family: Transfer RNA (tRNA) molecules are approximately 80 nucleotides in length. Their secondary structure includes four short double-helical elements and three loops (D, anti-codon, and T loops). RNAcentral also lists the same sequence under 1 other name. Lineage: Bacteria; Pseudomonadati; Acidobacteriota. The record is from RNAcentral.